AGAUGCUUUGAGUUUGUUUAAUCUAUGUAUAUAUAAUAUAAAAAUUUUUGUUCAAAAUCAACUUAAAACAACUCAAUCUUAGUAUAAACCUAGCACAAAAGGAUAAUGUGUAACAUUAUAUAGCAAAAUGUUUAUUAUAAGUGUUUAUUUAAAUGAAUUCGUUGCAAACGCGACUUCCAGAGACCGAUCGAUUUCAUUCAUCGAUUUUUCACGCUAGCAACCAGCCACGAAGAAAACGCCACGGCAACGAGGUGAAACACAUACGAACGAAUGACGUAUAUUCGCGGAAAGGUAAAGAGAAAAACAUCCAGCGCGAUAUGACAAUUCUUAGCAAAAAGGGAAAGAACGGCGAUGGUAUAUUCAAACAGAGGAAAUAGUCAUACUGCUCACUCGUGCAGUGAAAAUAUUAGUAUCCACUGCAAAAUAUAAAACUUAAUGUUCUGAUGAUUCGAUUCGGUCAGCUAGACAUUCCCUUUAAUAUUAUAGUGAAUGAAUAAAAUCUAUUUAAUUAAA
Molecule: long non-coding RNA, 513 nt
Organism: Bactrocera dorsalis (oriental fruit fly)
Lineage: Eukaryota; Metazoa; Arthropoda; Insecta; Diptera; Tephritidae
Exons: 2
Source: RefSeq, a predicted model, not a curated record